This 700-nucleotide ribosomal RNA is filed under the name uncultured soil bacterium. RNAcentral describes it as "bacterial SSU rRNA". It matches the Rfam family "Bacterial small subunit ribosomal RNA", at positions 81 to 769 of the family's 1533-position model. The record is from RNAcentral.
CAGAAAUAAUUCAGUGGCGAACGGGUGCGUAACACGUGGGCAAUCUGCCGAAAAGUGGGGGAUAGCUCGCCGAAAGGCGAAUUAAUACCGCAUGUGGUGAGGGACGACAUCUUCCUGAAUCCAAAGCCGGGGCAACCUGGCGCUUUUUGAGGAGCCCGCGGCCUAUCAGCUAGUUGGCGGGGUAACGGCCCACCAAGGCUAUGACGGGUAGCUGGUCUGAGAGGACGACCAGUCACACUGGAACUGAGACACGGUCCAGACACCUACGGGUGGCAGCAGUCGAGAAUUUUUCUCAAUGGGGGAAACCCUGAAGGAGCGACGCCGCGUGGAGGAUGAAGGCUUUCGGGUUGUAAACUCCUGUCAUUUGAGAACAAGGCGCCGAUAUUAACUGUAUCGGCGUUGAUAGUAUCAGAAGAGGAAGGGACGGCUAACUCUGUGCCAGCAGCCGCGGUAAUACAGAGGUCCCAAGCGUUGUUCGGAUUCAUUGGGCGUAAAGGGUGCGUAGGUGGCGCCGUAAGUCGGGUGUGAAAUUUCGGAGCUUAACUCCGAAACUGCAUUCGAUACUGCGGUGCUUGAGGACUGGAGAGGAGACUGGAAUUUAUGGUGUAGCAGUGAAAUGCGUAGAGAUCAUAAGGAAGACCAGUGGCGAAGGCGGGUCUCUGGACAGUUCCUGACACUGAGGCACGAAGGCCAGGGGACA